RNAcentral lists this long non-coding RNA (5078 nucleotides) under Gossypium barbadense (sea-island cotton). Its description in RNAcentral is "long non-coding RNA (GBAR_LNC010092)". Lineage: Eukaryota; Viridiplantae; Streptophyta; Magnoliopsida; Malvales; Malvaceae. The record is from RNAcentral.
AAUAAUUAAUCUGUAUAUAUGAUAAAUCAACUUUGCUUAACGUUAGUUAUAAUGACAGUUAGAAUGAAAACAAGUAGAGUAAAAAAUAAGAGCAGAAAAGAAUUGACACAAUCGAUCUUUGUUAACACAAUUUAGACACAAUGAUCCUACAUCUGCGAAGCCUCGUCCAAUGAAUGAUUUUAUACAAUAAUCUUCUGAAUCACAUAUUAACUUAAGUCCAAUAUACCCUUACACAAAGAAGUAACUGCAGCCCCAAUACCGACCAAAUUGUCACAAAUCAAUCACUCAAAUACCUCACAAUACAAUCAAUAAGCUCUCUGUAAUGACCCAAAAUUUAAGGGCAUCGAAAAAGUGUGUUAUCAGGCCUUCAUUUUAGUAAAGCGGAUUCGUAAAUAUUUAUUUAAAAUAUUUAUGAAGUUAGUUGUGUGUUUAAUUAAGCUUUGGUUAGGUGAAUUAGCUAGAAUUAAGAAUAAUUAGGAAAAGGGACUAAAUUAAAAUAGGUGUGAAAGCUUAAUUAAAGAUUAAAGAAAAUAAAAAGGACUAAAUAGGAAUUAUGCCCAUUACUAAUUUUGAGGCGGCAUAAGCAUAAAAAUCUAAGAUUUUUAUGUGUUAAAAUAUAUUAUUAAAUUAUUAUUAUUAUUAAAUAAAAUAAAUAGAGACAAAUGUAUGGUAAUGAAACCAUAAAUGUGUAAUAAUAAUAAAUAUAUGUACACUUGUAAUAUAAUUAUAUAUUUAUAAUAUAAGUAAAAGAUAUUUAUAUUAUUAUAAUAUAUUAUUAUUAAAUUAAUAAACAAAGGAAUUAAAAUAAAAUAAAUGAAAUAAAUGAAUAAAAAGAAAUAAAGAACAGAAUUGGGGGACGAAAACAAAGAAGAAAAGAAGGAAAGAAAGGGAAAGAAAGGAAAAAAGGAAAUUAGGGAUUUUAAAGUUUGAAGUUUAAUUGGUAAGUCAAUUUAAGUCCUUUUCUUGUAAUUUUUGAGUUUUUAUGAUCCUAGAACAAAAUACUACUAUGUAUAUGUUGAAAUUUUGGAAGUAUUAGAUUUUUAGAUACUAAUUUUGUUGAGUAAAAGUGUGAAUUAGAGAUUGAAUUAAUAGAAUUUCUAAUUAGAAUUGGGAGAAGGAUUAAAUUGUAGAAUAGGCUAUAAAUUUUUGUGUAAUAGGGACUAAAUUGCAAGAAAUUCGAAAUUAGGUAUUUAUGAUGAAAAUUAGAGUUAAGUUUAAGUUUGGUGGAAAAUUGAAUAUAAAUAAGGUAUGAAUUGGGAUGGAAAAAUAGAUGAUUUUGGUUAAGGAUUAAAUUGGAAUUAAGGUAGAAGUUAAAUAGGAAAUUCAAGUAUUCGAUAUGAACAAUUGUUGUAUUAAUAAUUGUAAAUUAUUUUAAUUUUCAUAGCUAACAUCAAACUGGAGACAUCGGCUCAGAAGGAAAAGAAAAAGAUUGCCGGAGAGUAACUCAGGAUAAAUUCUGGUUUGUAUUACUAUAAUUCAAAUUUAUUUAUUAUUAAUUAUGAAUAGUGAUUAAUAUGCAUGGUAAGAGAAAUUAAGGUAAGUAUUGAUAUUGAAUUGAAUGAAAAUGUAUUGAAUUGUGAAAAUGUGUGAAUAUAUGGAUUGAAUAUUGAUUGAAAGGUGGAAAAUGAUUGAAUUGAAAAUGUGAGAAAUAUGAAAAUGGAAUUAAGUUGAAUUAUGAGUUUAUGUGAUUAUUUGAAUUGAAAUGUGUAUUGAUUGAAAAUUUAAGAGUGAUUUGGAAACCCUAUUAAUUGUAUCAGGCUGAGUUGGAUAUAGUUUGCAUGCCAAAUGAUUGGAAGUGUUCAGAGAUACUUCAACUUCUAGUCGAUAAGACACUGGGUGUCUCUAUAUUACUUCGGAUAGAUUCGAUGAGGUACUGGGUACAAACUUACUUCGGCUUGGCCGAUGAGACACUGAGUGCCAAUUAUUUUCUUCGAACUAUCCGAUAAGGCACUAGGUGCCGUAUUGGAGUGUUUGGUUGGAUCUAUAUAUCCGCCAAAGUCCAAGUCUUGUUAAUAGGGGUAACGAAUGAAAUGGUAAAAUUGAAUAAAAGUAAAUGAUCUUGAUUGAGAAAUGAAAUAAGAAAUUAAAAUUGAGAAAUGAGAAUGAAUGAAUGAACCAAAGGUUCAGGGAAUGAUUGAUGAACCAAUGAAAUGAGAUUAUGAAAAAUCAUAGUAUGAAUCAUUGUUCAUGAAUAGACAAUAGUGUAUUGAUGAAUGAAAUGAGUAAAGAAAAGCUAUUUAGAAUGGCUAUGGUUGUUAUGUAAUGAAUAAGUAUAUUUUGUUGAUUUGUAAAUUUUAAUAAGCAUCAUUUGUAUGUUAUAUCAUGUAAUUUGAAUUAUAGUAAUACCACUGAGUAUAUCUAUACUCAGCGUACGGUUGUUUUCCAUGCGUAGAUUAGUUAAAGUCAAAUGUUCCGGUCCAGUAUCCAAAGCCAAUCUCGAUCUCAGAAAACUUUGGUGAUGUAUAUUUCUUUUGGUAAAAGUGACAUGUACCUAGGUUAUGUAUGAGUCAUUUUUGAAUUGGUAGUAAAUGAUGUGUUUGAAUGGUUAUGUGAAAUGAUAAGACUAUGAAAUGGUACUUUUGAUAUAAAGUUUAAAAAUGGAAAUUAAUGAAAUUAACUAAAUUAAUUUGAAUAUUAUAUGUAAAAUUCUUAUAAUUCAAGUGUAAUUGUGUAUAAAAUUGUAUUGGUUGUUAUAUUGGUUUGAAUUGGGUACAUUUUAAGUUUGCAGGGUUGGCAAGAUGAUUAAAAAGGGGUUAUAUUAAGUUCGCACAACCUGGUCCACACGGGUGUGUGAGCCCUGUAUUUGAGAAAAAUUUUGGAAUUUCACGAAAAAUUUCUUGAGCACUCGAAUUGGUCCCGAAUCACUUCUAACACGUAUUUUGGGCCUCGAGGGUCCUUAAAAGGGACAUUAUGAAUGUUUUACAAUAUGUAUGUUAUUUAUUUGUAUAAUGUUCGUAAUAUAUCUGAAAGGUCCGAUAAUGCUCAGUAACUCUGUUUCAAUAACAAUCUAGGGUUAGGGGGUGUUACACUCUCUCAAAUAUACCUAAAAAAGUCCCACAAAAUAAUGAUAAGAACAAAACAAAGUUGCUGACAAAGACACUUUAAAAACUACUCUUGAUGUGUGGCAUAAAACAACUUAUUUAUAGAUCUCUUCAAGUGAUCAAUCUAUAGUUUUUUUUUUAUAAGCUUUAAGCUUUUAUUCCAUUAAUUAUCCUAAAUAUUUAUCACAUAAAAGUCUUCGUAAAUCAGUCUUCCAACUGCUCCAAAAUUCUUUUGAAUAAAUAUGAUAUUUAUCUCUAAAAAUAACACUUUGAUAAUAAAACUUUCGUGCUUAUCCAAUCAUCUCAAGCAAUUUAUUUAGGAGUCUGAGCACCUUAGUGAACCCAUGUAUCUAGUUUUGUCAAAUAUGUUAAAUUUAAAUGGACUGAGCUCAACACAAACGAAAAUUAUUGAAGGCCCAAGAAAAGAAACAAUUUCGACAUAACAAAACAUAAAACGAGCAGCAACUUUCUCAAUAAUAUAAAAUUUAAAAUGCAAACUAUAUAAUUUUAAUAAUUAUAAUAAUAGGAGAAUAAUAUAUUUCCCAUUGAAUUAACGUGAAAUUUCCGGGGGAAAAAAAAGAAAACUGAUCUUGAAAUCAUGAAUACAGAAGGUUUGGUUAUGGUUGAAUUUGUGUAAGCAUUCAUUCAAUGUAUAUUUUGGUUUAAAAUAUUUGCUUUUGAAAUUUUUAAUACAUAUUUUUCAUUAUUAUUAGUAGGGUUAGAGAAAAAAUAAUGUUAAAUUGGAGAUAUUUAGAUGACCUAUAAAAUAUAUGUUUAGAAAUUGAGAUUAUUUGAAAUCGAAUCGAAUUUUUUAUUUAUUAAAUAUAUAUUUAAUUUUAUUUUUCUAUGAUAUAAAAAUAGAUAUUUUAUAUUCAAAAUAGUAAAAGUGAUUUAAAAAUUCUUAAAUUUUUAUUUUUUAAAAAAUAUUUAUGAAAAAACCUUAAAAUUUUAUAAAAUAAUAUUUAAGAAUUAUAAAAAAAUUAUUUUAUCAAAAUAAAUUUUAAAAAUUAACAUAAAAAAAUUGAAAAUCAAAUCGAGCUAAAACCAACUUAUAAUCAACUAUUAAAAAUUUUAAAAAGCUGGACGGAACCAAACUGAUAUCUCACCUAAUUAUUUGGUCAUUACGUACUAGCAACUUAUAGGAUAUUUUUUUCAGUAUCCUUUCCCAAUAAUUACGUUGCUAACCUAAAGUCAAAGAAUGCAAAUUCUUACUUUGUAAAUAUAUAUAUAAUGUAAGACCCAAUUUUAGCCCGGGCCCAUGCACAUACAAAAACCAAAGAAUAAAACAAAAUAUUAAAUGUCUAUUUACAAAUAAUAAACCCAAAAAGAAAACCAAGCACAAUUACAUUAAAAUAGCCUGGUGACAGAAGGCUCAAAUUCAGAAACCCUCGGUUCCUUUCUUCCCCUUGCGCCGCAGCCCCCCACGUUCAACGCCCCACGCACGUCAAUACGCCCACACACGACCACUAGCUCGCGCGUCCAUGACCCACGAUCAUGCACUCUCCCACGAUACCUGCAAUUUGAACAAAGAAAUAGGCAGAAACGGUUUUUGUAUUCGGCUAUAAAGUUUUUGAAUUUCGAUUGUAAAAGGGUUGGGUUUUUUUUUUAUCUUUUUUGGGAGAGAAUAUAGAUUCAAAAUCAAAAGCAAGCAGAGAUCUAUAAUAACAACAUUUGUUAAAGGUGAUUCUUUUAGUUUUUUUCUUUUUUCGGUUUUUCUAUUUUUCUUACUUUAUUUUUUUCUUUUGUGUGUAAAAAACGAUAUAAGAGAAAGAGGGAAACUCACCGGAGUUACAUCGCACUCGCAUCACAAGAAGGCCCUGCUCCGGUCGUCGUAAUCAAUCACGGAGGCAGUUGAAGGCUUGGUGUUGGCCUUGUUUGCGGCUGGAAGAAAGAGGAAAGUGGAGGAGAAGAAAGAGUUUUGGGUUUUUUUAAAAAGAAAUCAAAGUUAAAAUGUUUUUUUUAGCAAAAGAAUGACUUUAAAACAAGCUUUACUUUUAAUAAUACAAUAAAGGUUCUUGACUUUAAAACAUGUUGACC